GACGAACGCUGGCGGCGUGCUUAACACAUGCAAGUCGAACGAAGAGCGACGGAGGCUUGCUUCUAUCAAUCUUAGUGGCGAACGGGUGAGUAACGCGUAAUCAACCUGCCCUUCAGAGGGGGACAACAGUUGGAAACGACUGCUAAUACCGCAUACGAUCUAAUCUCGGCAUCGAGGAUGGAUGAAAGGUGGCCUCUACAUGUAAGCUAUCACUGAAGGAGGGGAUUGCGUCUGAUUAGCUAGCUGGAGGGGUAACGGCCCACCAAGGCGAUGAUCAGUAGCCGGUCUGAGAGGAUGAACGGCCACAUUGGGACUGAGACACGGCCCAGACUCCUACGGGAGGCAGCAGUGGGGAAUCUUCCGCAAUGGACGAAAGUCUGACGGAGCAACGCCGCGUGAGUGAUGACGGCCUUCGGGUUGUAAAGCUCUGUUAAUCGGGACGAAAGGCCUUCUUGCGAAUAGUGAGAAGGAUUGACGGUACCGGAAUAGAAAGCCACGGCUAACUACGUG
This 510-nucleotide ribosomal RNA is filed under the name uncultured bacterium. RNAcentral describes it as "partial 16S ribosomal RNA". It matches the Rfam family "Bacterial small subunit ribosomal RNA", at positions 28 to 507 of the family's 1533-position model. The record is from RNAcentral.